RNAcentral lists this ribosomal RNA (351 nucleotides) under uncultured bacterium. RNAcentral's name for it is "partial 16S ribosomal RNA". It matches the Rfam family "Bacterial small subunit ribosomal RNA", at positions 338 to 703 of the family's 1533-position model. The record is from RNAcentral.
CCUACGGGGGGCAGCAGUGGGGAAUAUUGGGCAAUGGAGGCAACUCUGACCCAGCAAUGCCGCGUGAGUGAUGAAGGUAAUGUUAUUGUAAAGCUCUUUUCUUGGGAACGAAGAAAUGACGGUACCAAAGGAAUAAGCCCCGGCUAACCACGUGCCAGCAGCCGCGGUAAUACGUAGGGGGCAAGCGUUGUUCGGAAUGACUGGGCGUAAAGGGUGUGUAGGGGGUUUGCUAAGUUAGAUGGGUAAUACCCAGGGCUUAACGCGGGUGCUGCAUCUCAAACGGUUAGACUUGCGUACUGGGGAGGCUAGUGGCCUUCCUCGUGUAGCGGUUGAAUGCGUAGAUAUUAGGAG